GACGAACGCUGGCGGCGUGCUUAACACAUGCAAGUCGAACGGAAAGGCCCUGCUUUUGUGGGGUGCUCGAGUGGCGAACGGGUGAGUAACACUUGAGUAACCUGCCCUUGACUUUGGGAUAACUUCAGGAAACUGGGGCUAAUACCGGAUAGGAGCUCCUGCUGCAUGGUGGGUGUUGGAAAGUUUCGUCGGUUGGGGAUGGACUCGCGGCUUAUCAGCUUGUUGGUGGGGUAGUGGCUUACCAAGGCUUUGACGGGUAGCCGGCCUGAGAGGGUGACCGGCCACAUUGGGACUGAGAUACGGCCCAGACUCCUACGGGAGGCGGAAGUGGGGAAUAUAGCACAAUGGGCGGAAGACUGAUGCAGCAACGCCGCGUGCGGGAUGACGGCCUUCGGGUUGUAAACCGCUUUCGCCUGUGACGAAGCGUGAGUGACGGUAAUGGGUAAAGAAGCACCGGCUAACUACGUG
Molecule: ribosomal RNA, 468 nt
Filed under: uncultured bacterium
Lineage: Bacteria
Description: partial 16S ribosomal RNA
Rfam family: Bacterial small subunit ribosomal RNA
Source: RNAcentral